This 789-nucleotide ribosomal RNA is filed under the name uncultured archaeon. RNAcentral's name for it is "bacterial SSU rRNA". It matches the Rfam family "Archaeal small subunit ribosomal RNA", at positions 88 to 879 of the family's 1478-position model. The record is from RNAcentral.
GCUCAGUAACACGUGGAUAACCUGCCCUUAGGUCCGGCAUAAUCUCGGGAAACUGAGGAUAAUUCCGGAUAGCUCUUUUUGGCCGGAAAUGCAUUAAGAGUAAAAGUAUCUCGCCUAAGGAUGGGUCUGCGGCCUAUCAGGUAGUAGAGGGUGUAACGCACCUUCCAGCCGACAACGGGUACGGGUUGUGAGAGCAAGAGCCCGGAGAUGGAUUCUGAGACAUGAAUCCAGGCCCUACGGGGCGCAGCAGGCGCGAAAACUUUACAAUGCAGGAAACUGUGAUAAGGAAACACCGAGUGCCCGCAUCUAAUGCGGGCUGUCCGCGUACCCAAAUCGUACGCGUCAGCAAGGACCGGGCAAUACCGGUGCCAGCCGCCGCGGUAAUACCGGUGGUCCGAGUGGUAGCCGCUUUUAUUUGGUCUAAAGGGUCCGUAGCCGGUCCGGUCAGUCCAUUGGUAAAUCCGCGCGCUCAACACGCGGUCUUCAGUGGAUACUUCCGGACUUGGGACCGGGAGAGGUAAGAGGUACUAUAGGGGUAGGAGUGAAAUCCUGUAAUCCUUAUGAGACCACCUGUGGCGAAGGCGUCUUACCGGAACGGGUCCGACGGUGAGGGACGAAAGCUGGGGGCACGAACCGGAUUAGAUACCCGGGUAGUCCCAGCCGUAAACUAUGCCCGCUGGGUGUCAGGCAUGGCAUGACUGUGUCCGGUGCCGUAGAGAAGUCGUGAAGCGGGCCACCUGGGAAGUACGGCCGCAAGGCUGAAACUUAAAGGAAUUGGCGGGGGAGCAC